GAGUGUUUAGCUUAGCGGUAAAGCAAUUGGCUUUUAACCAAAUGAUCUUAGGUUCGAUUCCUAAAAUACUCA
Molecule: transfer RNA, 72 nt
Filed under: Aureoumbra lagunensis
Lineage: Eukaryota; Pelagophyceae; Sarcinochrysidales; Sarcinochrysidaceae
Description: tRNA-Lys
Rfam family: tRNA
About the family: Transfer RNA (tRNA) molecules are approximately 80 nucleotides in length. Their secondary structure includes four short double-helical elements and three loops (D, anti-codon, and T loops).
Source: RNAcentral